Molecule: transfer RNA, 72 nt
Filed under: Ovis aries (sheep)
Lineage: Eukaryota; Metazoa; Chordata; Mammalia; Artiodactyla; Bovidae
Rfam family: tRNA
About the family: Transfer RNA (tRNA) molecules are approximately 80 nucleotides in length. Their secondary structure includes four short double-helical elements and three loops (D, anti-codon, and T loops). Further hydrogen bonds mediate the characteristic L-shaped molecular structure. tRNAs have two regions of fundamental functional importance: the anti-codon, which is responsible for specific mRNA codon recognition, and the 3' end, to which the tRNAs corresponding amino acid is attached (by aminoacyl-tRNA synthetases). tRNAs cope with the degeneracy of the genetic code in two manners: having more than one tRNA (with a specific anti-codon) for a particular amino acid; and 'wobble' base-pairing, i.e. permitting non-standard base-pairing at the 3rd anti-codon position.
Source: Rfam by way of RNAcentral
UCCCUUGUAGCUCAGUCGGUAAAGAAUCUGCCUGCAAUGCAGGAGACCCGGGUUCGAUCCCUGGAGAAGGAA